Molecule: transfer RNA, 74 nt
Filed under: Amanita phalloides
Lineage: Eukaryota; Fungi; Basidiomycota; Agaricomycetes; Agaricales; Amanitaceae
Also listed under: 3 other names
Description: tRNA-Arg
Rfam family: tRNA
About the family: Transfer RNA (tRNA) molecules are approximately 80 nucleotides in length. Their secondary structure includes four short double-helical elements and three loops (D, anti-codon, and T loops). Further hydrogen bonds mediate the characteristic L-shaped molecular structure. tRNAs have two regions of fundamental functional importance: the anti-codon, which is responsible for specific mRNA codon recognition, and the 3' end, to which the tRNAs corresponding amino acid is attached (by aminoacyl-tRNA synthetases). tRNAs cope with the degeneracy of the genetic code in two manners: having more than one tRNA (with a specific anti-codon) for a particular amino acid; and 'wobble' base-pairing, i.e. permitting non-standard base-pairing at the 3rd anti-codon position.
Source: RNAcentral
ACAUCUUUAGCUGAAUGGUUAAAAGCGUUUGUCUUCGAAACAAGAGAAUAUUGGUUCAAUUCCAAUAAGAUGUU